Molecule: ribosomal RNA, 482 nt
Filed under: uncultured bacterium
Lineage: Bacteria
Description: partial 16S ribosomal RNA
Rfam family: Bacterial small subunit ribosomal RNA
Source: RNAcentral
GAUGAACGCUCGCGGCAGGCCUAAUACAUGCAAGUCGGACGGGAUUCAGGAGCUUGCUUCUGAUGAGAGUGGCGCACGGGUGCGUAAAACGUAUGUAACCUACCUUUAUCAGGGGGAUAGCCUCUCGAAAGAGAGAUUAAGCCCGCAUAAAAUCACAGCACAGCAUUGUGUAAUGAUCAAAUAUUUAUAGGAUAAAGAUGGGCAUGCGGAACAUUAGCUAGAUGGCGGGGUAACGGCCCACCAGGGCGACGAUGUUUAGGGGAUCUAAGAGGAUGGGCCCCCACACGGGUACUGGGACAAGGACCAGACUCCUACGGGAGGCAGCAGUAAGGAAUAUUGGUCAAUGGGCGGAUGCCUGAACCAGCCAUGCCGCGUGCAGGAAGGCGGCCCUACGGGUUGUAAACUUCUUUUAUACGGGAAUAAACCCAGAUACGUGUAUCUGGCUGAAUGUACUGGAAGAAUAAGGAUCGGCUAACUCCGUG